Molecule: ribosomal RNA, 253 nt
Filed under: uncultured bacterium
Lineage: Bacteria
Description: partial 16S ribosomal RNA
Rfam family: Bacterial small subunit ribosomal RNA
Source: RNAcentral
UACGGGGGGGGUAAGCGUUGUUCGGAAUUACUGGGCGUAAAGGGCGCGUAGGCGGCCUGUUAAGUCGAACGUGAAAUCCCCGGGCUCAACCUGGGAACUGCGUCCGAUACUGGAUGGCUUGAAUUCGGGAGAGGGAUGCAGAAUUCCAGGUGUAGCGGUGAAAUGCGUAGAUAUCUGGAGGAAUACCGGUGGCGAAGGCGGCAUCCUGGACCGACAUUGACGCUGAGGAGCGAAAGCUAGGGGAGCAAACGGG